GAAUCUUCCACAGAGAAGCCACCCAGGAUGAGGCAGCAUGGCAUUGAGGUCACAGAGGUGUCAAAGUUGUCAGUGAAGAAGGUAGCUACUGUUAUUAACUGUGCAGGAUAGUGUGGUUCUUCUGAGUUUUUUAAAAACUGUUGUGGACGUGCAAGUUCGCAUCACUGCCAAUAAGCAGAUGGGCCCCUGCAACAUGAAUUUUGGAUGAGAGAAGUAUCUCACAGCCUCCUUUGGGCCAAGAAUAGAUGAGGGCAGUCAAGAGGACAUUAAUCCAUGAUGUCUACAUUUUCACCAUUGCCAAGAUUUUGUUGAUGAUGAGGAUGUUGCUUCGAAAAUUCAGGCUGGAGUUGGGAUAAGUUGCUGAAUUCUCUGAUGUGACCAUAGUUUCACAGAAGACACCAGUCAACUCUAACACAAACAGUUCCCACAAACAAAGUGAUUAUUCGUCCUCUAACAGACCUUGAAGUGAGGGACCUAGAUUAUAAAACCCAGGCAAGGAGAACACCUUCCAGAAUCCAGAUAGGUACUCACAGCCCAGUUGGAGGUAUUUAAAAAGGCCUCAAGACUUUGAUUCUUGUCCAUGUCCUACUUUUAACAAUCUUGCCAGGAUCCUGUCGUUGGUAGGUGAUACAGGCAUUGUAAACAUGCUUAAAAUUACCCCAACAAUGCUGGCUCCAUUUCAAGGCCCAUUUAUCUCUGAUGCUAUGCUAACAGUAUGAAGCAUUUCUGUUAAACUCUGCUUUUGUUGUGGCUGUCUGAUGAGUUAAUGGCACAACAUCUUGAUUUUCCUCUCUGUCUGGUUUGCACCUGCAGAGGCAAGGCCGGGCACUAGCUCUGGCCGCUGUCAGCUGUCCUGCCAAGACACAAGCUGCUAAGCAGGACUGGCUUCAUAAUUUGCAGGCCCAGUGCGAAAUGAAAACAAGGGGCCCCUCGUUCAAGAUUUAUUAACAAUUUCAAGACAGUGAGAGCAGAAAGUUAAACCAAGUACAGGACCCUUCUGAGCCUGAGGAGGCCUGUCAGAGCCCUGCUGCCCCUGCAACAUGGCAGACAAGACAACUGGGUUCCCAGAGCCCUAACUCCAGAGGAAUGGCCAGAACUGGAGAACAUUCCAGGAAGCAAACAGGAGCUGCAGUCUGAAGAUUAGAGACUGAAGGCCAAGAUAGCAGAAUAGCUACUGAAACUGAGGACCCUGGGAUCCACAGAAGAAAGCAAACUGUUCAGGGCAACAAACAGGUGGCCUGGGCAGGAGAAAAUCAAUGUGGGGGCUGAAAGCAGAUCCAGUUCUUAACAGGAUGGUCUAUUGGAGGCCACUGAUGAAGAAAUUGGCCCAGUUCUUGAAGAAAGGUGAAGGGCUCGGCAAAACAGCCAAUAAGGAGUGUCUGCAGAAGAGAUAAGUUUAAUAUCUAGGUUCGCCCUGGGCUUGUAACAAGGAGGUAGAGUUCACUGAUCUAGACUUUGUCCAGCCAUUUCAGCAAUUUCUGAGGAACUUGGGAACGCAGGGAGAGGCACAAAGGACUGAUGGGAUGAUGGAGGCCUUUGCCCAGGGACAGUGUCAUCAAGAACGCUUUAGUGCCCAGAUGCUGAUAUCCUCUCCUUUGCACAUCUUGUUGAAUACCAGCUAGAAGCCCGAAGUCAUAGAGAAGCCCGCAGGAGAAAGGUUCACUGCCAUGAACAGAGCCAUCAGUGAUGGACGAGCAACUCUAGAAGCUGUCAUUUCUCAAAUUAACAUUAACCACGUUUGCCUCUCACUUGCUUCUUCCCAGUUCCCAUUUUUCAC
Molecule: long non-coding RNA, 1777 nt
Organism: Dama dama (fallow deer)
Lineage: Eukaryota; Metazoa; Chordata; Mammalia; Artiodactyla; Cervidae
Exons: 4
Source: RefSeq, a predicted model, not a curated record